This 938-nucleotide long non-coding RNA is filed under the name Macaca mulatta (Rhesus monkey). RNAcentral describes it as "lncRNA (ENSMMUG00000058819.1)". Lineage: Eukaryota; Metazoa; Chordata; Mammalia; Primates; Cercopithecidae. The record is from RNAcentral.
CCCACGGUUGUCUUAGAAACCGGCCCCUGAGGCUUGGCAAAGCAGGAGCCCUCCGUGGCGGUGCUUGGGUGUCGGGGCUGCGAGGCUCCUGCCUCACCUCUCCACGGGGUCGACAGGAACGUCUCCGGACGGACGCCGGGAGUCGCAACGCGCCGGCCAGGAUGACAAAACCGCAGGCGGAGUCCGGGGGAAGCGGCGCGUCGUCCCAGCCUCAGGCCCGCCCGACGGUGUUGGGGUGAGUCUCCCCAAAAGUCUUGCCCCCGUGAUCUCCACGACGGUCCGCCCGCCUGUCCGUGGGCUGCUCUCUCCCCCGAGGGGCCUUCCGCCCGGAGCGAAGCCUGCAGCGUCAGGGGGCUGUGUGCCUGCGGGGGCUGCGUUUCUGUGCCGCUGCUGCCGUGUGACGUGCGUGUCUGCGUCUCUCCCAUCCUCUCUGUCUCUCUGGCCCUCACUCUCUGUGUGUGUCUUUCCCUUUUCUGCCGGUUCGUGUGUGCGUGCCCGUGUGCGGGGUGCGUUCGGACGAAUGCGCCCGGUGCGCCAAAGGCGACUUCUUGCGCGUCGGCCUGGCUCUGCCGAGCCUCUUUCUUCUGCCUCUGUGCCUGGGUCUUGCGGCGGGCUCGUCAGUGUGGUUUCGCCGCCGUUCCACUUGGGGUCCUCCCUGAGGGCCUCGACCGCGUGAGGAGAUGCGUCUUCCCCAGCAGCAGUGGAAAUCUCGUUACCCUUGCCGAGCGGACUCUCUCCUGGGAUCAAGAUAACCACAGUCCAGCCAGGGCAAAAGCCCCAGAGGGGCUCGUCGCCCUGCAGGAGAGGAGCAGACCCGCCUCAGAGGAGACGCUUGUACCUUUUCACGGCUCUUCUCUGAGAAAUGAAGCCGCACCACGGCAGAAGCUUGAAGAGGAAGCCGGGAAGGGGAGAUGCCAGGCCUCCCGGUCCCUGGAAGG